AACAAACGCUGGCGGCGUGUCUUAAGCAUGCAAGUUGAGCGGCAAGGAGGAGAGAUCCUCCCUAGAGCGGCGGACUGGUGAGUAACGCGUGGGUAAUCUAUCGUAGGCAUGGGGAUAGUCACUAGAAUAGUGGGUAAUACCGAAUACGUUCCAUGAGGGAGUAUUCAUGGAAGAAAGGGUGCUACGGCACUGGCCUUAGGUGAGCUCGCGUCCCAUUAGCUAGUUGGUGAGGUAAAGGCCCACCAAGGCGAUGAUGGGUAGCCGGCCUGAGAGGGUGUACGGCCACACUGGGACUGAGAUACGGCCCAGACUCCUACGGGAGGCAGCAGCUAAGAUAUUCCGCAAUGGACGAAAGUCUGACGGAGCGACGCCGCGUGGAUGAAGAAGGCCGAAAGGUUGUAAAGUUCUUUUGCUAGGGGAGAAUAAGUGAGGGGGGAAUGCCCUCAUGAUGACAAGGACUAGCGAAUAAGCCCCGGCAACUACGUGCCAGCC
RNAcentral lists this ribosomal RNA (492 nucleotides) under uncultured bacterium. RNAcentral's name for it is "bacterial SSU rRNA". It matches the Rfam family "Bacterial small subunit ribosomal RNA", at positions 29 to 513 of the family's 1533-position model. The record is from RNAcentral.